Molecule: long non-coding RNA, 231 nt
Filed under: Ananas comosus (pineapple)
Lineage: Eukaryota; Viridiplantae; Streptophyta; Magnoliopsida; Poales; Bromeliaceae
Description: long non-coding RNA (ACOM_LNC033398)
Source: RNAcentral
UCGACAAACUAACUUUCAUUACCUGAAACACCAAAUUACUAGACUUCAGUUCUUUCUUGCCUCACUAGCACCCUUGCUGAGUUCGGUGCUUCCUUAUCCGUACGAGAUGUGGGCCGAGACACGAGCCGAGACGUGAGCCGAGUAGUGUAUGGGAGAUAGACUCUUGCUGCUAUUGGAUUAGCGAUCGAGAUGGGUUCCGAGUCGUCGAAAAUGACGAAUUUUCUUCUGUGU